GAUGAACGCUAGCGAUAGGCCUAACACAUGCAAGUCGAGGGGCAUCACAUGAAGUAGCAAUACGGAUGGUGGCGACCGGCGCACGGGUGAGUAACACGUAUGCAACCUGCCUUCAACAAGGGGAUAACCCGUUGAAAGACGGACUAAUACCCUAUAACACAGGGGUCCCGCAUGGGAAUAUUUGUUAAAGGACAACCGGUUGAAGAUGGGCAUGCGUUCCAUUAGCUAGUUGGCGGGGUAAGGGCCCACCAAGGCAACGAUGGAUAGGGGAACUGAGAGGUUUAUCCCCCACACUGGUACUGAGACACGGACCAGACUCCUACGGGAGGCAGCAGUGAGGAAUAUUGGUCAAUGGACGCAAGUCUGAACCAGCCACGUCGCGUGAAGGAAGACGGCCCUACGGGUUGUAAACUUCUUUUGUAAGGGAAUAAAGUGUAGUACGCGUACUAUUUUGCAUGUACCUUACGAAUAAGGAUCGGCUAACUCCGUGCCAGCAGCCGCGGUAAGUACGCAGCGA
Molecule: ribosomal RNA, 517 nt
Filed under: uncultured bacterium
Lineage: Bacteria
Description: bacterial SSU rRNA
Rfam family: Bacterial small subunit ribosomal RNA
Source: RNAcentral